RNAcentral lists this ribosomal RNA (1631 nucleotides) under Globobulimina turgida. RNAcentral describes it as "SSU rRNA". It matches the Rfam family "Eukaryotic small subunit ribosomal RNA", at positions 576 to 1439 of the family's 1831-position model. The record is from RNAcentral. Lineage: Eukaryota; Foraminifera; Rotaliida; Buliminidae.
CCGCGGUAAUACCAGCUCCACUGGCCUAUACAAUCAUUGUUGCGGUUAAGAGGCUCGUAGUUGGAUUGAACUGCAUAGAAUAAUUUUCUAUCAGUACUUAAAAACAUAAUAUUUUAUUACAUACGCUUGAAAACACACCACACACCCACAAGCGUAAAUAUUUUAUUAUGUUUCGACGCUGUUAUUUAUUUAUGUAUGUAUAUACGUAAAUAAUGACAUGUAUGUGAUUUAACACUCACUAUUGUGCGUAAGAUAGAGAAUUUAUUUUCUAUUAUUACCAUUUCAACACUGUGAACAAACCAGAGUGUAUCAAACAUGUCGUUUUUGAAUGUGCAUUGAAUGUCUUAUCAUGGGAUGUUGCACUUUCAUAUACUGGUUAAUUAAGAUUAUGCACUACUACACACACCACAUAUGUGCUAUAUAUUUUUAUUAGCCUAUACUAACAUAUCUUUUUUAACGGUUAAAAAAUGUCGAUGGGAUAGUUGGAGUCAACAGUACUGCUGGGCGAGAGGUGAAAUUCAUUGACCCUAGCAAGACUACCAAAAGCGAAAGCAGUUGGCUAGGCUAUACUCUUUGUGAUUUAUUUUUUUAUGCACACAACAGUAUAUCUAUUAUUAAAUAUAUAUUAUUUACGUUAAAACUACACACACAACCCAUAUAUAACGUAUAUAUAUAUAUUUAAGAUAUAUGCCCGUGAGUAUUUUAAAAAAAAUACACUUUACAAUGAAGAACGAAGGUUGGGGGAUCAAAGAGGAUCAGAUACCCUCGUCGUCCCAUUAAUUACAUCAAACGAUGGGCUCUCAAUUGCAUUUUUUUCAUUAAAUUGCAAAUUUCCUCAGCCUACAAAAUAACUGGGCUUGAGCUCGUGUUAUUUUUUAUGACACGCUCGCCUAAAUUUUUUCGUAUGGUCUCGAUGUGACGUUUCAUUUAUAUAUUUAUUUGCGUGUAAGCAUUAUGUUAUUCUUUGAAAUACAAGAAUGCAUUGCGUGCACUUGAUUUUCGGAGCUUUGCGCUCAAUUCUGGUGAGAUGUAAGCACUAUGUUAUUCUACCCGCAGUGUAUGUUAACAUAUUUUUGUCUUUAAUUAAUUUUUUUACCGCUACUCUGUAUGUAAUAAUUAUUAUUGUACAUUAAUCUAACAUUUCAUCUGUUGUGUGUGGGAUUAACAAUUUCGGUGUGAAGCACGCAUUAGGCACGCGCUUACUGCAGAAAUGUCUGAGACACUCUCCUCCGGGGGUAGUAUGCACGCAAGUGUGAAACUUGAAGGAAUUGACGGAAGGRCACCACAAGAACGCGUGGAGCAUGUGGCUUAAUUUGACUCAACGCGGGAAAUCUUACCGGRUCCGGACACACUGAGGAUUGACAGGCAAUAUUAAUAAUUUAUUUUUUCUGUGUGUUUACUCACAUCAGUAAUAUAUUUUAUUAUGUUAAAUAUGCUAGUCCUUUCAUGAUUAUGUGAUAGGUGGUGCAUGGCCGUUCUUAGUUCGUGGAGUGAUCUGUCUGCUUAAUUGCGUUUCACUAAGGGCCUAGAAAUUUACGUAUGUUGCGACACUUUGACCCCUCCUUGUGUGCGUGCGUCUUUGUUUGUUUAGCUCAUACAAAUAGGUCCUGAAAGCAACGAACGUGACCGAA